USGGAGCAAACAGGAUUAGAUACCCUGGUAGUCCACGCCGUAAACGAUGAUCAUUAGUCGGUGGAGAAUCACUGACGCAGCUAACGCAUUAAAUGAUCCGCCUGAGUAGUAUGCUCGCAAGAGUGAAACUUAAAGGAAUUGACGGGGACCCGCACAAGCGGUGGAGCAUGUGGUUUAAUUUGAAGAUACACGGAAAACCUUACCCACUCUUGACAUCCUUCGCAAAGCUAUAGAGAUAUAGUGGAGGUUAACAGAGUGAAGAUGGUGCAA
This 270-nucleotide ribosomal RNA is filed under the name Metamycoplasma hominis. Its description in RNAcentral is "Mycoplasma hominis partial 16S ribosomal RNA". It matches the Rfam family "Bacterial small subunit ribosomal RNA", at positions 762 to 1046 of the family's 1533-position model. The record is from RNAcentral. Lineage: Bacteria; Bacillati; Mycoplasmatota; Mycoplasmoidales; Metamycoplasmataceae.